This is a long non-coding RNA of Corticium candelabrum, 697 nucleotides long. RefSeq lists it as uncharacterized. NCBI's taxonomy places the organism in Eukaryota, Metazoa, Porifera, Homoscleromorpha, Homosclerophorida, Plakinidae. The record is from RefSeq and is a predicted model, not a curated record. The transcript is spliced from 3 exons.
CAAGACAAAACUCAUACCUUAAUGACUAUUCAAUGUCAGUGUACUGAAUUGUUUAUUAGCUUAUAGUUUAUAUGUCUAGUGUAGUAUCCGGGUGCUGGUCAUCCGGCGGUGAAUCCUGGUAGUAGAUCUUUCAAUAGCGAACCACGAGAUAUUACACUGGCGACGAGGAUGGUGACGUUUGGGCGAUUGGCAGCAUUCGAUGAAGCCAAAGACAACUGGUGGCAGUACGCCGAACGGAUGCAGCAGUUCUUCGUGGCUAACGAGAUAGAAGAUGAUCAGCACCCGGAUACUACAUCUAGAAGUUAGAAGACUGUUCUCAUGACAUUUACUAGACUCGUACCCAUGCAGUCCUCCUCCUUGCGCGCGUUCCACGUGUCUAACAUUUACAGCACGAGAAGUUUCAGACAGUGACAGCAGUCUGCUCCAUCUGUGAAAACUCCUCCUAUUGAUCAAACUGUGAAUGAGGGUGCAGACUUUGUAGAAUUCAACUGCACUUUUGCUCAGAAAGAACCUGAACCGACAUUUAGCUGGACAUUUACGAACAAUGAUGGUCAUAUGGAGACAGUGCAAGAGCAGCCACGUCUUCCAAGUUCAAGGACAAGUUUUGUUAGAAUAUCUUCAAUUUCAAGGGACAAAAGUGGUCGUUAUGAUUGCGUUACCGAGAAUGAAUUUGACAGUGUCACUUCAUCAGCACAUU